This 795-nucleotide ribosomal RNA is filed under the name Anilios longissimus. RNAcentral's name for it is "partial 16S ribosomal RNA". It matches the Rfam family "Bacterial large subunit ribosomal RNA", at positions 1686 to 2597 of the family's 2925-position model. Lineage: Eukaryota; Metazoa; Chordata; Lepidosauria; Squamata; Typhlopidae. The record is from RNAcentral.
CCAACAAAAAUAGCGUCUAAGCAAAAACCCAAAAGAUAUCGCCUCUCCCAACUAACUCCAGCAAACUCAAAGAACAAUCCUAUACACAUAGGAGCUCCUAUGCUAAAACUACUAAUAUGGACACCACUCCUUUUAGCACACCUAUUUCUCAACCCCACCUGAGGAUUAACAGACCAUAAGAGGAAAGAAAACACUCUCCCCAAUUCUAAUACCACUGUAAACCCAACCCCGGUGUGCAAAAAUAAAAUUAAAAGUCUUAAAAGGAACUCGGCAAACACAAAUCCCAACUGUUUACCAAAAACAUAGCCUUUAGGAAAACAAGUAUUAAAGGUACUGCCUGCCCAGUGAAUUUUUCAACGGCCGCGGUAUCCAUAACCGUGCAAAGGUAGCGAAAUCACUUGUCUAUUAAAUAUGGACCAGUAUGAAGGGCCACAUGAGGGUUUAACUGUCUCCUAAGACCAAUUUAUGAAACUGAUCUUCUAGUUCAAAAGCUAGAAUAGUAAUAUAAGACGAGAAGACCCUGUGAAGCUUAAAAAAUCCCACUAAGAAAUAGUGGGUAUUUUUAGUUGGGGCAACUUUGGAGAACAAAUAAACCUCCAAAAAACAAAAGAAAGACCUACUAGUCAAGAACGACCCAGUAUGACUGAAAAAUGGACUAAGUUACUCCAGGGAUAACAGCGCAAUCUUCUUCAAGAGCCCAUAUCUAAAAGAAGGUUUACGACCUCGAUGUUGGAUCAGGACACCCAAGCAGUGCAGCAGCUGCUAAAGGUUCGUUUGUUCAACGAUUAAAGUCCU